Molecule: ribosomal RNA, 275 nt
Filed under: uncultured Prochlorococcus sp.
Lineage: Bacteria; Bacillati; Cyanobacteriota; Cyanophyceae; Synechococcales; Prochlorococcaceae
Description: partial 16S ribosomal RNA
Rfam family: Bacterial small subunit ribosomal RNA
Source: RNAcentral
GCGAGGAAGCAAUCCCAUAAACCGUGGCUCAGUUCAGAUCGUAGGCUGCAACUCGCCUACGUGAAGAAGGAAUCGCUAGUAAUCGCAGGUCAGCAUACUGCGGUGAAUACGUUCCCGGGCCUUGUACACACCGCCCGUCACACCAUGGAAGUUGGCCACGCCCGAAGUCGUUACUCCAACCCUUGUGGAGGAGGACGCCGAAGGUGGGGCUGAUGACUGGGGUGAAGUCGUAACAAGGUAUCCGUACCGGAAGGUGCGGAUGGAUCACCUCCUAA